GGUUUUUAUUCAUCCCCGCACGCCCCUCCACGAUCCCUACACAGGUCGCCGCACACCGCCGCCGCCGCCGCUGCGAAUCCCCGGGGACGCCGCACGCCGCCGCCGCCGUGAAUCCCCAGGGACGCCGCACGCCACCGCCGUCGCGAAUAACCAGAGACGCCGCUCGCCACCGUCGCGAAUCCCUAGGGAUGUCGCCGCCACCGCCACGGAUCCCCAAGGGCGUGGUCGCAUUGCCCUGAUUGGAGGAGACCCUGCCGGCCUUGCCUUGUUUGGAGGACCGUGCGCGUCAAUCCCGACCUCCGCUUUCCCCCUUUUCCAUCGAGGAUCGCCGCCGCUACUUUGUCUUCUAUCUCUCCGGAUCCCCAUCGGCACCUGCUGGAUGGUGCUCCGGGAACAGGGCCGCACGGAGGCCCUCCUCCCGUAGGAUGUGCAGACGCGGCGCGCCUUGCAGCGGCUGUUCAGGAUGAGCGUGGGCGCGACAACCUUGUCCCAGUCGACGAUGGCGGCGGCGAACACCGAUGCUCCUUCUGGUCCUCUACCUCCAAGGACGCGCACCAGUACAGCUCAGGCACCCCCGUCCCCAAAUCCCGUCCACCCAUCCGACGUUGUCCAGCUCAUCCUCACGCUCGUGGAUUCGCCUCCUCCUAUACGCGACACUUGAAACACGGACGUGUCUGAAGCAGAACCUCCGUCUUCUAUCUCAACGUCGGCGGCCCGACGGCGCCGAAUCCUUAUCGACGCCCGUCGGCGGCCCGGUGACGCGACCAGAUCACUGCAAAUUGCUCCAUUCAUGUCAGCAGCCUAAUCAGGUGGAGGUAGUCGUGCUGGCGCCACUGUUUUGCUUCGUGCUGAUGUGGUAUAAAAGUGCCUCCUCGGCAGAUGAGGACCUGAGCGUGGCCGUGCUAAUGAGGAUGCAGGAUCCACCGCCACCGGCCAGUCCGAGUGCGUUGUUGUUUUCAUUCUUUGGGUCCUAGGGAUUUCGAAAUCAGGUGAUUGCAGAGAACUUGGCAGGCAGAUCAAUUACGAGGAGGUCAAGGCUGAGCUGGAGUGGGGUGGGCCCCAACAUGAAGGAGCUGGAGAUAUCUCUAUUUUUUUCAGUCAUUAUUCAGGCUCUAAGCAUCCCCUUUCCCUAUACCACAUUACUUGAUAUUACUAAAUUCAGUACUCUUACUCAACUGUGAACAAGUUCAUGUGGUAAGUAGGAUCAACAAGAGUUGGCUGGCAACUGCUAUGUAUAUAUUAUUAUGGAUCAGCCAAGGUGGUUAAAUUUUAAUUUUUUUCCUUUUUCUUAAUUUAUGCCCUUAAGUUUAUGCUGUUAAAUGCAUACACAUAACUUAGUUCCAGAUUUAACAAGAGUACAUUUUACAAUGAACUUCAUAGCUGAUGUUGAUCAUAAUUAGUAAGUGUACAAAGCAUUUCAAGGAAUUUCUGUUUUGUGCAUAUUGUAUAUUGCAGACUUGCAGUGAAGUAGUGCCAUCUAAGUACCAGAUGUAUGUUAUUUUCAAAUAAGCUUUUCUUAAAAUGGAAAAUACUAAAAAGCAAAUUGUGCCACACCGUGCAAUUAAGGUGCCUUUUACUAGAAACUCAAUGCAACUUCUUGUUAUUUUCAAAUAAGCUUUUCUUAAAAUGGAAAAAUACUAAAAAGCGGAUUGUGCCACACCGUGCAAUUAAGGUGCCUUUUACUGGAAACUCAAUCCGACUUCUUGUUAUUCCUUCUGAACGUAGCAAUUAAGCCAUAUCUUGUUUUCACUCCUUCUGAACCUAGCAAAAUGGCCUGCUUGGACCGAACGAGGACAGGUGUGUGGUGGUGGACAUAAGAUGCACGGCGAACAUUGAGCCGCAGAAGAACAUUAUGAAAGAGGUUGGAGAGGCUGGAGGAGACCAUAUACCAACACAAAGCGCAUCUUGAUGGCCAUCAAUGAGGAGCUGGACCUGCUACACCAGGCUAAUUGCAAGCAUCAGGAUGAUUUGGACGAGAUGACUGAUGAGGACAUGAGCGUUGUCGGAUGAUUUGGACGAGAGGACUGUAGCACGACGCAAUGAAGAGCCAGAUCGUCCGUCCGCUCCCAGCUCACUUCCCAGUUCUGUUGUGCUGCCCCGUGCACCAACCAUCCAGUAAAGGUUCUGUGGUUAACAUCUCUUUUGCGAGUUUCAUAUAACUUUCGUUGUCACUUUAUUAUCUAUUGAUCCACAUGUUUGUAUUUUAGCAGACAUGAGUACUUUAUCAUCUUUCCAGGAAGAAAUUACAAGAGAGAAGAAAACUCAGCUUUAUAAGCAGUGACAGUCCAACAUCAUAUUGACAUGUCUGGUUUCUCUUUCCACAAGCAGGGUCGAGUGGGGUGAUAUACUAGGCGCUUUCUUCUAAAUUGUACAGGAAGUCCACUGAGUUAUUGUUGUUUGUAUGCCACCUUAGAGCGAAAUAGUACUUCUUUUAAUCAUUUUUAGGUGAAAUACAAGCAUGUAGCUACCUCACUUAAUUAUAGUACUCACUUGAAGUUUAUGUUGAUACAAUGCACUACUUAAGUAGUAGAGAAACCUCACAAAAUUAAAUUGAUGAAUGAUAUUUAGGAAAAGAAGUAGGCAUGUUUCAUUAUAAAGGGAAAGUCUUUUUCAAGGCAUAGUGUUUAAUUCACGAAUGGUUAAACAGUUUAACGGGGACCAACACUGGGUAGUAGGGGAGUGGCAGUGCAUAGAGACAUAGUGAGGGGAGCGAGGGCGAUGAUGGAGGCGGAGAUGUUUAGAGAGAGAUAUAGAGAGUGGGAGGUUUACCAUGGUGCAAUCGAAAACCGAGGCACGCCUUUCUAAGACAAGCACACUUUAAAACAUAGCAAUACUCUGCAUUGUUUUGAUGUUGGUAUCAGGACCAGGUACCAUGUGAAUCUCAAGGAAUGGUUGUAGAUCAUUAUGGAUAAACUGAAAAAAAUAUCAUUAUGGAGUACAUUAUAAACGGCAUUUGGUGUCGGCGGCAUGUCACUACCACUGACAAAGUUCUCUGAAACACGAUUACUAUCAUGUACAAUGCUUUACAGUUCUCUCAUAUUCAAAUGCUAAAAUUCUGUAAUUUCAUAUUUAGUAGUUUCUGCGGUGUGAAAUUCAUGUUUUAUUUUGCUUGUGCAGUUGAAAAUAAAUGCUGGAAAAGAUAUUAAAAUUCAAAUCUGGCUUAUUUUUCUCAAUAUGGGUUCAGAAGGAAAUUGUCGUUGAGCUUCUAUCUAACGGCACUUUUUCAUUAGAUUUCAGCAGCGGCUGAUGGCAGCAACCUCAUGGGCCACACAUCCCCUUCUUUAAUUGCAUGCCCUCACAAAAUGGAUGGGGACUUGGUUCUUUGGUUGUCGCCGCCAGACUCGGUGAAGGACGAAAAACUGAGAUGAUCCAGUGGAGAAUAGAUGCCACGGGCUGAAGAAAGGAGGCGACGGUUUCAGAGCACACACCUUGAAGCGGAGAGGCGGCAAGGGAGUGCAUCUGGAUGGCAGAGGGAGCGGGACAAGGCAACAUCACAUGGGAGGCAUGGUCAAAAUAGGCGUCGUAGGAGCAAUCAUGCGUGUGGGGGUCGUACCAGGGAGAAGGAAAAGGGUGGUCGGUUUUCUAGGGCUUUUUUCCUUGCAUCGGGAAAUGGGUUCGGUUGAAAAAAACGAUGAUGUGGGGAGAUCACGCGAGUGGUGGAUACGUGGGUACCAUUUAACGUACCAACUAUGCUUUAAUAGUAGAGAUUAAGAUGUUGAUAUUUUAUUCAUUUUCUUCUUAGCUGAACAUUCUUUAAACCAAAAAUCUAUGAAACUUGUAAUGUAGCAUGGUCGCAAUUUGUGAAGUAGAACUAACUAUCCUUUAACCAUUCAUCAAUUUUUAUGUACUUGUCGCCCGUGACAACAAAUAUGGAUCAAAUAACUAUGCACUAUGGGCACUAAUAUGGUUACCUUCGAAUGGGUUUGUUACUAUGUUUAGUUACUAUGAUGUUUCAUAUGUUCAUCAGAAAAAAUAAAGGCUUAUUUACUUGCAUGUGCUUUCUCAUGUUUGUUUGUUUUUUCUUCUGGUUGUUCCUUUUCUAUAAUUGUCACAUAAAGUGAACCGAAACUCAUAUUCUAUAUUUCUGCUGUGUAGAUACCUGUGAGCCCGCUGUUUAACUCGCUAAAAAUGGAGAUAGACAUGGAUUUAACGGUUCUCAUUCAUUUAAAUCUUAGUGAAUUGACGCUAGUUUCCAUUUGGAAUUGAGAUAACGAGGAAUCGUUUCCUUCAUGAUACUGCAUGUAUGAGCUUUUUUCUUUCGGUGUAGGCCAAUAUUGUACAAAGUUAUUUCCUAAAAUUAUAUUCGAAGGUGUCUUCUAUGAGAGUAACCAUCUCAAUCUUUUUUCUA
Molecule: non-coding RNA, 4348 nt
Organism: Triticum urartu
Lineage: Eukaryota; Viridiplantae; Streptophyta; Magnoliopsida; Poales; Poaceae
Source: RefSeq, a predicted model, not a curated record